RNAcentral lists this small nuclear RNA (104 nucleotides) under Carlito syrichta (Philippine tarsier). Lineage: Eukaryota; Metazoa; Chordata; Mammalia; Primates; Tarsiidae. The record is from RNAcentral.
GUCACUUUGGUGGCACAUAUUUUAAAACUGGAACAAUACAGAGAAGAUUAUCAUGGCCUCUGUGCCAGGAUGACACGUAAAUUUGUGAAGUGUUCCUUUUUUUU